Sebastes umbrosus (honeycomb rockfish) is the source of this 495-nucleotide long non-coding RNA. RefSeq lists it as uncharacterized. The transcript is spliced from 4 exons. The record is from RefSeq and is a predicted model, not a curated record. Lineage: Eukaryota; Metazoa; Chordata; Actinopteri; Perciformes; Sebastidae.
AUGUGUUAGAGGCUUCAUACAGAAAUACUCAAGUCUAAAUGAACACAAUAUGUUUUGGUCAAAAGUGACACCCAACAUUUCAUAAUUUAGCCUACACAUACCUUCAUGCAUACAUGUGCACAUAGUCACGAGCACGUGACGUGCACGUGGCCAGUACAGUAGAUAGGGCUAGAAGUCCAUGUAGAAAAUAAUCCAAAAUGUAUGGAAUAAAAUUGAUAAAAUCUAAAAAAAAUAUACUGUACAUAUGAUAUAAUAUAUAGUAUAUAUGUUUAUUUCAAUAUAAUAAUAAUUAUAUGAAGAAUACAUAAUUAAAAAUAUUAAAUAUGGAGCCAUGUGCACACAGGUACAUGCACAAACUUACAAGUCCAUAUCCAAACAAUAAAAAAAAACAUACUAGAAAAUGGAUAGCAUAUGAACAAAUAUUAUGUACAUAUUAUGUAUGUACAAUAUUAUAUAAUAUAAUAUAUAAUAGAAAUAUAGAUAUAAUAGAAAGAC